CCAGACAAGUGAGGCGAAACACACCAGUGGAAUUUUCAAUGACACUGAUCUUAAAAUAGACCGUGUUUUUUCUUGUUCGGCUGACCAUGUGUCUGGAAUCCUGGGUAAACACAAGAGGGAGCGGCCGAUUCUAUGUGGCUAAUAUGUGACAUUCAGCCAGGAGUUGUGUUUAGAGUCUGUGGUCCCAACAUCCUCCUCAGGGUGCUCACUUAAUAUCAUCGAGGUUCAUGGUUUGGGUUGAAAUUGAUGACUACAGCUAUUAGGGGGAUUUGUCACUUGAACAUAUCGCCUGCUGAAACGUCUGAUUCUGCACAUGGCCCGACCAUCGAUAUCCUCCUCGCCUUAUUGCCCGGCCCAACAGCAGAGCCGGUAUUGUUUUCACCCGGUCGGAGUCUGGGUGUGUGUCAAAUGAGCAAGUUGUGGACACAUCUACUGUAGCGGGGACUACCACAGGCAGUUUUAAGUACUUUGGCAUGCAUGUGUCUGUCUGUCUAUGUGUGGACGGAUUUUGUCAUCGUGGUAGCCUCUGUGCAAGAAACAUCCAUGCAACUUGGCGUAUAGCUGAGGUAAAAAUGAAGGACGAGUUCGAAGAUGGCUGCGGUCUGAUCCAUGCACGUGAACAAAUGAGGCUGUUUUGAGGGCAAACGGAGGAAUUACCCGCUAUUGGUAUAGGGUGUUCCUAAUCAAGUGCUUGGCCAAUGGUAUUUUGGAACAUUUGUCAGAUCAGACGCAGAGCAAACACCAAGUCCUUCUUCCCUCUUUAAAGGACUUAUGCAUUAUCUGACUUCUGAACAUGAAACCAAGACGUACUCAAAGAAAAAAACGGAAAUCUAACCUUUAUGUCCACUGUUGCUGUUGCUGUACCACGAUGUGAGUGAUGUGCCUCCUAAAGUGUUUUACUGCCUACUUCCUUUUUAGACUAAUGCCUGCAAUUUGGCAAGUGGUGAAUCUGUAAAAACGUGGUAUUACUGCAAACAAUUUUGAGCACUUGCCAUGGCUUUUAUUGCAGGCAUCUUUGGAAGGCUUAAGCAUCUAAAUGGGCAAGUGUUGUAAAUGUAUGUGUGGAUGGCUCCCCCACACUUUAUAAUGCAGCAGUGUAACGGUUAAGGUAUAUUAGUAAUAGAAACAUACUGUGAUACUGGUAUUACGGAUGCAAAGCUCUUCUCUGCUUUGGUCAUGGUCCUGAGAAACUGAAGUGCAGUGACGUGACACAUGCUGCUACUUAGACAUGUAUAUAUUUCACAUGUAUCCUGUCAGUUACACCCCUGUCUGUCAGUAUUAGUGGCAGCUAACGGAGACAGAUGAUGAUGAUCACUCCUCCCCGGAUAUGUAUUCACACAUCAAGCCUGCUCAUUCCCCAGUCUGUUAUCUGACAGAGAUGUGGGAGCAGUACCCAUGUAGAAAGAAAAGGAUGCAGCCUUUUUUGGAUCCAACUGCACAAAACUACUAAACUAGCACACACAAGCUUAAAUCUCAGCUUUCCCAUAGACACAAGACGUGCCCCUGCCAAAAUGUGUUUAAUAACAUAAUGUCAUAUUUAACCAGAAAUAGGAUUACGAAGAAUACUAAUCAUUCACAUAUGAAGUGGUGGGUGGAUUCUUCCUCCAAUAUCAACAGUAGUUGGGGUCAUAGAGUCGUUGGUUAGGAUUGAGUUUGGAAAUUCUGUAUGUUUAUCACUUCUCGUCAGUCGUUAUGAGGUUUCUAUCUUUUUGAGCCUUAUUUGAAUAAAUAAUGUAUGUUAAGGCCAAAUUGACCUAGAUUUGUGAGCUUUACAAAUUAAUAGCAUAUUAAUUUCACUUCACUUGCCUAGCUUAAUAGAGUAAUUGCAAAGCGAUAAAUAAAGCAGCAGGAAGAGAACAUAACUGGACCCAAAACGGAGCCAUGCUGCACACCAUUUAUUAAAGAUGUGGAUGAUGAUAGGGGGACUGAGAACUGAGCAACAGCAGAGCAGAGCUCCCUUUACAUUAACAGCCAGUGACGAUGGUCAGGAAAGGGAAAAAAAAAUCAAAAAGCCAAGUGGAUUUGGUUGAGAGUGUAAUAGACUACAAUGUAAUGAAAUAGUGCGAAAUCUGUGACAAAUCCGAGGAGAUCAGUUUCAUUUUCAGAAAUGCUCAAACCAGCCCAUUUGACACCAACAAUCAUGCCACUGUCAAGCUCACUGUCCAAGAAGCACCUGUGUUUGCAUUAACUCUCCAAUCUGAUGUUUGAUGUGAACGUAAACUGAAGCUCCUGACUGAAGCACCAUUUUCAAAUAAUCAUUACCAGCUCCAUUAAAGCAGAAUUUGUUGCGGUGCUGUCAUGUUGGAUUACAUUGGAUCAACAAUGCCGCCACUAUAUGUGAAGAUAGUUA
Molecule: long non-coding RNA, 2350 nt
Organism: Scophthalmus maximus (turbot)
Lineage: Eukaryota; Metazoa; Chordata; Actinopteri; Pleuronectiformes; Scophthalmidae
Exons: 3
Source: RefSeq, a predicted model, not a curated record